This 497-nucleotide ribosomal RNA is filed under the name uncultured bacterium. Its description in RNAcentral is "partial 16S ribosomal RNA". It matches the Rfam family "Bacterial small subunit ribosomal RNA", at positions 28 to 507 of the family's 1533-position model. The record is from RNAcentral.
GAUGAACGCUGGCGGCGUGCCUAAUACAUGCAAGUAGAACGCUGAAGCUUGGUGCUUGCACCGAGCGGAUGAGUUGCGAACGGGUGAGUAACGCGUAGGUAACCUGCCUCUUAGCGGGGGAUAACUAUUGGAAACGAUAGCUAAUACCGCAUAAAAGUCGCUAUCGCAUGAUCUUGAUUUGAAAGGUGCAAAUGCAUCACUAAGAGAUGGACCUGCGUUGUAUUAGCUAGUUGGUGAGGUAACGGCUCACCAAGGCGACGAUACAUAGCCGACCUGAGAGGGUGAUCGGCCACGCUGGGACUGGGACACGGCCCAGACUCCUACGGGAGGCAGCAGUAGGGAAUCUUCGGCAAUCGGGGCAACCCUGACCGAGCAACGCCGCGUGAGGGAAGAAGGUUGUCGGAUCGUAAAGCUCGGUUGUAAGAGAAGAACGAGCGUGAGAGUGGAAAGUUCACACUGUGACGGUAACUUACCAGAAAGGGACGGCUAACUACGUG